This 347-nucleotide ribosomal RNA is filed under the name uncultured bacterium. RNAcentral describes it as "partial 16S ribosomal RNA". It matches the Rfam family "Bacterial small subunit ribosomal RNA", at positions 338 to 699 of the family's 1533-position model. The record is from RNAcentral.
CCUACGGGUGGCAGCAGUCGAGAAUCAUUCACAAUGGGGGAAACUCUGAUGGUGCGACGCCGCGUGGGGGAAUGAAGGUCUUCGGGUUGUAAACUGCUUUUGACAGGGAAGAGCAGAAGACGGUACCUGUCGAAUAAGCCACGGCUAACUACGUGCAAGAAGCCGCGGUAAUACGUAGGUGGCAAGCGUUGUCCGGAUUUACUGGGUGUAAAGGGCGUGUAGCCGGGCUGACAAGUCAGAUGUGAAAUCCGGGGGCUCAACCCGCGAACUGCAUUUAAAACUGUUGGUCUUGAGUAUCGGUGCGGCAGGCGGAAUGCAUAGUGUAGCGGUGAAAUGCGUAGAUAUUA